Molecule: microRNA precursor, 76 nt
Filed under: Schistosoma margrebowiei
Lineage: Eukaryota; Metazoa; Platyhelminthes; Trematoda; Strigeidida; Schistosomatidae
Description: mir-3492 microRNA precursor family
Rfam family: mir-3492 microRNA precursor family
Source: Rfam by way of RNAcentral
AGCUUUCUGGGUCCAUGCCGAGAUUUUGUCAGAUACUAAACCAUCAGGACUGAUGAGACUCCUAAGUAAAUAGGUU